GAUGAACGCUGGCUACAGGCUUAACACAUGCAAGUCGAGGGGAAACGACGGGGAAGCUUGCUUCCCGGGCGUCGACCGGCGCACGGGUGAGUAACGCGUAUCCAACCUGCCUCUGACUGAGGGAUAACCCGUCGAAAGUCGGCCUAAUACCUCAUGGUAUCGUCUGCGGGCAUCCAACGACGAUUACAGAUUUCAUCGGUCAGGGAUGGGGAUGCGUCUGAUUAGCUUGUUGGCGGGGUAACGGCCCACCAAGGCUACGAUCAGUAGGGGUUCUGAGAGGAAGCUACCCCAGAAUGGAACUGCGGCCCGGUCCACAAUCGUACGGGAGGGAGCAGUGAGGAAUAUUAGGCAAUGGGGGCGGGCCGGACCCCGCCAAGUAGGGGGCAGGAAGACGGCCCUAUGGGUUGUAAACUGCUUGUAUGCGGGGAUAAAGUAAGGGACGUGGCCCGCAUUGAAGGUACCGAAUGAAUAAGGACCGGCUAAUUCCGUG
This 490-nucleotide ribosomal RNA is filed under the name uncultured bacterium. RNAcentral describes it as "partial 16S ribosomal RNA". It matches the Rfam family "Bacterial small subunit ribosomal RNA", at positions 28 to 507 of the family's 1533-position model. The record is from RNAcentral.